Molecule: ribosomal RNA, 253 nt
Filed under: uncultured bacterium
Lineage: Bacteria
Description: partial 16S ribosomal RNA
Rfam family: Bacterial small subunit ribosomal RNA
Source: RNAcentral
GACAGAGGGUGCAAACGUUGUUCGGAAUUACUGGGCGUAAAGGGCUCGUAGGUGGCCAACUAAGUCAGACGUGAAAUCCCUCAGCUUAACUGGGGAACUGCGUCUGAUACUGGAUGGCUUGGAUUUGGGAGAGGAAUGCGGAAUUCCAGGUGUAGCGGUGAAAUGCGUAGAUAUCUGGAGGAACACCGGUGGCGAAGGCGGCAUUCUGGACCAAUAUUGACGCUGAGGAGCGAAAGCCAGGGGAGCAAACGGG